Molecule: ribosomal RNA, 459 nt
Filed under: uncultured bacterium
Lineage: Bacteria
Description: partial 16S ribosomal RNA
Rfam family: Bacterial small subunit ribosomal RNA
Source: RNAcentral
CCUACGGGAGGCAGCAGUGAGGAAUAUUGGUCAAUGGCCGGAAGGCUGAACCAGCGAUGCCGCGUGAAGGUCAGUGCCCUAUGGGCGUUAAACUUCUUUUGUGCGGGAGCAAUAAUGGUCACGUGUGGCCAGACGAGAGUACCGUACGAAUAAGCAUCGGCUAACUCAGUGCCAGCAGCCGAGGUAAUACGGGGGAUGCAAGCGUUAUCCGGAUUUACUGGGGGUAAAGGGGGCGUACACGGUCAGACAAGUCAGAAGUGAAAGCCCAGGGCCCAACCCUGGGACUGCUUUUGAAACUGCCGGGCUGGAGUGCAGGAGAGGUAAGCGGAAUUCCUAGUGUAGCGGUGAAAUGCGUAGAUAUUAGGAGGAACACCAGUGGCGAAGGCGGCUUACUGGACUGUAACUGACGUUGAGGCUCGAAAGCGUGGGGAGCAAACAGGAUUAGAUACCCUUGUAGUC